Molecule: ribosomal RNA, 468 nt
Filed under: uncultured bacterium
Lineage: Bacteria
Description: partial 16S ribosomal RNA
Rfam family: Bacterial small subunit ribosomal RNA
Source: RNAcentral
GACGAACGCUGGCGGCGUGCUUAACACAUGCAAGUCGAACGGAAAGGCCCUGCUUUUGUGGGGUGCUCGAGUGGCGAACGGGUGAGUAUCACGUGAGUAACCUGCCCUUGACUUUGGGAUAACUUCAGGAAACUGGGGCUAAUACCGGAUAGGAGCUCCUGCUGCAUGGUGGGGGUUGGAAAGUUUCGGCGGUUGGGGAUGGACUCGCGGCUUAUCAGCUUGUUGGUGGGGUAGUGGCUUACCAAGGCUUUGACGGGUAGCCGGCCUGGGAGGGUGACCGGCCACAUUGGGACUGAGAUACGGCCCAGACUGCUACGGGAGGCAGCAGUGGGAAAUAUUGCACAAUGGGCGGAAGCCGGAUGCAGCAACGCCGCGUGCGGGAUGACGGCCUUCGGGUUGUAAACCGCUUUCGCCUGUGACGAAGCGUGAGUGACGGUAAUGGGUAAAGAAGCACCGGCUAACUACGUG